This 372-nucleotide unclassified non-coding RNA is filed under the name uncultured fungus. Its description in RNAcentral is "partial contains ITS1, 5.8S rRNA and ITS2". The record is from RNAcentral. Lineage: Eukaryota; Fungi.
AACGCACAUUGCGCUGCCUGGACAUCCCAGGUAGCAUUCUUGACUGAGUGUCCGUGCCCUGUCUUUGCCACAGCUGUGUUGUGCAGGUUGUGAGCGAGACUAUGGGGUUGCAGAGAAGAGCAGAGCCGAGCAGAGCAGGUAAAGUAAGGCUUUAGCUUGUCGUUUCUGCUGUUUGGCUGCUGCCCUGAAAUAGUUGACAAGUCACAGCUGUGUGUGCCCAAUGUUGUCAGCCUCUGGUACAAAGUAAUUUGCUUUGUUGGGUGAGUGUUGAUUGACAGGGGGAGUGGAGAGAGAGUAGGUGUGUGUGCCUGGUGUCUCUUGGGUUGGUACGAAGCGGAUCUCAGUUCAGGUAGGACCACCCGCUGAAUUUAA